This is a small nucleolar RNA of Ctenopharyngodon idella (grass carp), 134 nucleotides long. RefSeq annotates it as U8 small nucleolar RNA. Lineage: Eukaryota; Metazoa; Chordata; Actinopteri; Cypriniformes; Xenocyprididae. The record is from RefSeq and is a predicted model, not a curated record. The transcript has a single exon.
ACAUCAGUGAGGUUUAUCCUUACUUUUUUAUCUUAGAAAUAAGAUUACACAAUAUGAUGAUUGGAUUCUAUGAAUAUGUGGUUAUAUUCCACAUUUGUUUUGGGCUUGCAAACCCUUUAUGAAUCCUGUCUGAU